Molecule: ribosomal RNA, 292 nt
Filed under: uncultured bacterium
Lineage: Bacteria
Description: partial 16S ribosomal RNA
Rfam family: Bacterial small subunit ribosomal RNA
Source: RNAcentral
GUGCCAGCCGCCGCGGUAAUACGGAGGGUGCAAGCGUUAUCCGGAUUCACUGGGUUUAAAGGGUGCGUAGGUGGGUUGGUAAGUCAGUGGUGAAAUCUCCAAGCUUAACUUGGAAACUGCCGUUGAUACUAUCAAUCUUGAAUCUCGUGGAGGUAAGCGGAAUAUGUCAUGUAGCGGUGAAAUGCUUAGAUAUGACAUAGAACACCGAUAGCGAAGGCAGCUUGCUACACGAGUAUUGACACUGAGGCACGAAAGCGUGGGGAUCAAACAGGAUUAGAUACCCGGGUAGUCC